Molecule: long non-coding RNA, 487 nt
Filed under: Sphaeramia orbicularis (orbiculate cardinalfish)
Lineage: Eukaryota; Metazoa; Chordata; Actinopteri; Kurtiformes; Apogonidae
Description: lncRNA (ENSSORG00005025810.1)
Source: RNAcentral
AUAGUACUGGAGCUGGUCUCCAACACUGACUGGGAUUUGCUUUUGGCUUGGAACGACCCUGCAGGCCGGGGGUGCAUUGGUCAUCGUGUGGGAUUCUACCUACUGAGCUCAUAUUUUUAUACCAUUAUCCCUCUUACCUGCUGCUGGCAGCGUGUUUAACCAGGGCAGGACUUCCUUAAAGUUUUAAACCAGAGGAACCGGAUUCACUCUGAGGACUCAGAGGUCAUCCCACUGACCAACUGUGAGGCCAUGUACCAGGCAGCUGUCUCCAAGCGAGCAGACAACACCAUCCCCAGCGGGGUCAUGGAGGAGUCGGAGGUCUGUUCCCUGCCUGGGGGACUUGCCAGUGUAAGGAGACAAUUUGAAGCCCAGGAAAUUGCAACAUCACACAAUGUUACCCAGUUUCAUUUUCAACACAGAACUGUACAGGUAUACAUAUUAAGCUGUACAUGCAUCAGGCGGAUAAUAUCAGCAUGAAAGAGAAUGA